Molecule: long non-coding RNA, 1144 nt
Filed under: Marmota monax (woodchuck)
Lineage: Eukaryota; Metazoa; Chordata; Mammalia; Rodentia; Sciuridae
Source: RNAcentral
UCAGUAUUUAAAAUGGACACUGGAAAAAUUCUGAGGAGCCCCCAAAAUGUCUUCUGCAAAGCAAUGGGUCUCCACCUUUGAAUUUGCAAGUGGUGGAUACUAUGAAUCCAGUGUUAAGAGCUUCAAUUCUGGCUGAAGGCCUACUUUCCUAUCUCCAGCAUAGCCCUGUAGACAGGUACUUCAGUUCUAUCCAUCACUCUAACUGCAUCACUUAACCAUGGAGCAAGGACAAGAAGCUCAGGGGUGGAAGCCAAAGUGCAGAGUCGGAAGAGGAGUCAGAGAGGGUCGGUAGGAGCCAUUUCUUUGGCAAUGAGUAAAACCUACUGGCUGUGUCAGAUGACCCAUCGUCCAGCCUGAGUCAGCUCCACUGAUGAUGCUUGCUUCUCUGCUGAGUGUGGGACACCGUGUUGCUUUGAUUUGGUAACAGUUUGUCUUUAUAAUCAACAGCACUCACUGCCUUUCUUUUCCACUCUGCCAUUGAACUCUUUGACUUCCUCGUUCAUGCUGUCUGAAGACUUCAGUGAGCACUCUUUCUAGCUCCAAAUCUACAAUAAUGGCAUUCACUUCUUUUACUUAUUUAAUAAUUUUGUCUUGAACAUUGCAAUAGGAGUGGGGAGGACCAGAAUGCCUUAGGGUUGUGGCACCUUUUCAGAUGACAAUAACAAGUAAAUUUGAUUACAGAAGUAUCAAGGGCUGUUUUGAGGACUUUACAUGUAUUAUUGCAUUUAAUUUUUACCAUAAUACAAGGAGGUAUUUUACAGCUGUCAUAUCCAUAAAGAGCUAGUAAGUGGCAGAUGUGAUUCAAAUCCCUGACUCAAAUCUCAUUCAUAGCCAGGUGUCUGUAAUUCCAGUGGCUCAGGAGGUUGAAGCAGGAGGAUCUCAAAUUCAAAGCCAGCCUCAGCAACUUAGCAAGGCCCUACGCAACUUGGUGAGAUCCUGUGUCAGAAAUAAAAAUAAAUAAAAGGGUUGGGGAUGUGGCUCAGUGGUUAAACGUUUCUGGGUUCAAUCCCUGGUACAAAACAAAUAAACAACUCACACUUAUACCACCACCUAGUUCUCCAGUGGCAGUGUUUUUUAAAGUUAACUUUUUGUUAUGGAAAAUGCUGAAUAUACAGAAGUAGUAAGAAUAGAAUAAUAAGUUCUU